GUGGUUGUGGCUCAAUGGUAGAGCACUUGCUUAGCAUGUGUGAGGCACAGGGUUCCAUCCUCAGCACCACA
RNAcentral lists this transfer RNA (71 nucleotides) under Marmota monax (woodchuck). RNAcentral's name for it is "tRNA.Ala". The record is from RNAcentral. Lineage: Eukaryota; Metazoa; Chordata; Mammalia; Rodentia; Sciuridae.